RNAcentral lists this ribosomal RNA (200 nucleotides) under uncultured bacterium. Its description in RNAcentral is "partial 16S ribosomal RNA". It matches the Rfam family "Bacterial small subunit ribosomal RNA", at positions 524 to 723 of the family's 1533-position model. The record is from RNAcentral.
UACGGAGGGUGCUAGCGUUAUCCGGAAUCACUGGGCGUAAAGGGCGCGUAGGCGGUUUGUUAAGUCCGAUGUUAAAGACUGGGGCUCAACCCCAGCACUGCGUUGGAUACUGGCAGACUGGACGGUUGGAGAGGCGAGUGGAAUUACCAGUGUAGCGGUGGAAUGCGUAGAUACUGGUAGGAACACCCAUUGCGAAGGCA